AGUGAACGCUGGCGGUAGGCCUAACACAUGCAAGUCGAACGGCAGCACAGUAAGAGCUUGCUCUUACGGGUGGCGAGUGGCGGACGGGUGAGGAAUACAUCGGAAUCUACUUUUUCGUGGGGGAUAACGUAGGGAAACUUACGCUAAUACCGCAUACGACCUACGGGUGAAAGCAGGGGAUCUUCGGACCUUGCGCGAUUGAAUGAGCCCAUGUCGGGUUAGCUAGUUGGCGGGGUAAAGGCUCACCAAGGCGACGGUCCGUAGCUGGUCUGAGAGAUUGAUCCGCUACAUUGGAUAUGAGCCACGUUCCAGACUCCUACGCGAGGCGGCCGUCGGGAGUAUUGGUCAAUGCGCGCAAGCCUAAUCCAGCAAUACCGCGCGGAUGAAGAUGCCCUCCGGAUGGUAAAGCCCUUUUGUUGGGAAAGAAGAGCAGCUCGUUAAUCCCCCGCUGUUCUGACGGUACCCAAAGAAUAAGCACCGGCUAACUUCGUG
Molecule: ribosomal RNA, 492 nt
Filed under: uncultured bacterium
Lineage: Bacteria
Description: partial 16S ribosomal RNA
Rfam family: Bacterial small subunit ribosomal RNA
Source: RNAcentral